CGCGUAGGCGGUUGGAUAAGUCAGCUGUGAAAACCACGGGCUUAACUCGUGGCCUGCAGUUGAGACUGUCUGGCUUGAGUGUGGGAGAGGAGAGUGGAAUUCCUGGUGUAUCGGUGAAAUGCGUAGAUAUCAGGAGGAACACCGGUGGCGAAGGCGGCUCUCUGGACCACAACUGACGCUGAGGCGCAAAGCUAGGGAGCAAACA
RNAcentral lists this ribosomal RNA (205 nucleotides) under uncultured bacterium. Its description in RNAcentral is "partial 16S ribosomal RNA". It matches the Rfam family "Bacterial small subunit ribosomal RNA", at positions 568 to 774 of the family's 1533-position model. The record is from RNAcentral.